Molecule: ribosomal RNA, 468 nt
Filed under: uncultured bacterium
Lineage: Bacteria
Description: partial 16S ribosomal RNA
Rfam family: Bacterial small subunit ribosomal RNA
Source: RNAcentral
GAUGAACGCUGGCGGCGUGCUUAACACAUGCAAGUCGAACGGAAAGACCCUGCUUUUGUGGGGUUCUCGUUUGGCGCACGCGUGUGUGACACGCGAGUAACCUCCCCCUGUCUUUCGGAUAACUUCACGAGACUCCGGCUCUUACCGCAUAGGAUCUCCUGCUGCACGUGGGUGGUUGGAAAGUUUCGGCGGUUGGGGCUGGUCUGGCGGGUUAUCAGCUUGUUUGUGUGGUAGUUGCUUACCAAGGCUUUGACGGAUAGCCGGCCUGAGAGGGUUGCCGGCCACAUUGGGACUGAGGUACGGCCCAGACGCCUACGGGAGGCAGCAGUGGGGAAUAUUGCACAAUGGGCGGAAGCCUGAUGCAGCAACGCCGCGUGCGGGAUGACGGCCUUCGGGUUGUAAACCGCUUUCGCCUGUGACGAAGCGUGAGUGACGGUAAUGGGUAAAGAAGCAACGGCUAACUACGUG